This 561-nucleotide ribosomal RNA is filed under the name Nibea albiflora (white flower croaker). RNAcentral describes it as "partial 16S ribosomal RNA". It matches the Rfam family "Bacterial large subunit ribosomal RNA", at positions 591 to 1361 of the family's 2925-position model. The record is from RNAcentral. Lineage: Eukaryota; Metazoa; Chordata; Actinopteri; Sciaenidae.
AUUCAUACUCGUACCUUUUGCAUCAUGAGUUAGCCAGAAAAUCUCAAGCAAAGAGCACUUUAGUUUGAUUCCCCGAAACUACGUGAGCUACUUCAAGACAGCCUAAAAUAGGGCGAACCCAUCUCUGUAGCAAAAGAGUGGGAUGAGCUUCGAGUAGCGGUGACAGACCUAUCGAACCUAGUUAUAGCUGGUUGCCUGAGAAAUGAAUAGAAGUUCAGCCUUUCGAGUUCUCCCCUCAACCCCGUCUUCACCCCCGGACAACCAAAGAAAUCGAAAGAGUUAGUUAAAGGGGGUACAGCCCCUUUAACACAAGAUACAACUUUCCCAGGAGGGUAGAGAUCACAUUCAAAUUCCAAGGUAAAAUGUUUUGGUGGGCCUAAGAGCAGCCACCCCUAUAGAAUGCGUUAAAGCUCAAAUAUAAUUACCACCCCUAAUCCUGACAACCCCAUCUUAACCCCCUAACCUUACCAGGCCGUCCCAUGCAACCAUGGGAGCGACCAUGCUAAUAUGAGUAAUAAGAGGGCAAAUCCGCCUCUCUCCACGCACAAGUGUAACUCGGAU